AUUCGCCAAAAAUGAUCAUAAUCAAUCACUUUGACGCUGCUAACGUUACUUUUUAAGUUCCCCGGUACUCACCUGUUAACUCCUCCCCCUUUUUAAAGUAGACGACGUUUCCAAACUCAAGUAGUACAUUCAAACUUGCUUGAAUUUUUCUAAACUAUCAUACUUGCGUAGAAGACAUGCUACUUAUUCUUUGUAUUUCUGAAAGCGUUAUCUAUUGACUUAAUAUUGGUAGAACUCUCAGCGUGCUUCAGAAUUUAAAUACUGGAGUAGGCAGUCAACCGCGGUUACGUUGGUGAUCUUUGGCCACCAUUUCAUGUGUAGCUAAAACUCGCUAGAUCAAAAGCUAACAUCUCUGUCCUGUUUGAGCCGGCUAGUGAUCUACGGGUUACUGUGCAUUUAAUUAACGAAGUUAUCGCUUCUCCGAGACGUAGUUAUAACCAUUACCUAAGGUUUGCUGCGAAUUCUGGUGCAAAUUCCGGUCGUUUAUACAAAUCACAAACUAGUAAAAUUGCUUGGUAAGUGGCUGCAGAUAAAUCAUUUUUUAAGUGCUGAAAAUUAAUGACCCACCUGCAACUCUACAACUGUAGGCUACAACGAUGCUCGUUGCACACUGGUGCAAUAUUCCUUCAAAGGAGGAAGAAACAGACUGAGGGCCUGAAGCUCACAGCUACAGAGAGUGGCGUAGCCAGGUGGCAAUAGGACUGCAGAUUUGCCUGCCAUCCCAGUCAUCCAUCCUGCGCACCGUCCCGCGAAAACGUGUCCACUGGCGAGGGCUACGGGAGUCAUGGCCUGCACCCCACACCCCGUGCCAGGCUAAUUUUGGGCCUGGGCUGUCUCCGGCUGCCCCCCUCAUUAAUCACCACGCAGUUGGAGGUGAAAAAAACAAACAAUACCCUGAGGACGUGAGGGGCGAUUUUCAAGUGGUGGGAACGAGUUUACAACUUUUCAAAAAUAUAACGUCCUCAGCAGGGGGUUUAGGCCCAUGAAUCUGCCAGUUGAUAAAAGUUAACACUCAGCGGAGUAUGUCAGGAGGCCCCACCUCCACCCUCUCACCAUCUGCGGGGGGAGAGACAUUCACACCAACAAUUAGUACUUAAUAAAUCAGAGUCUCAUUUUAGCACCUUCGAUUGUUGUGCUGUGGACGCGGGGUUAGGUUUUGGGGGGAUCCUGCUGCCAUUUUUGUGCAGUACAACGCAUGUCUUCAUUGUUUGAUAGAUUGUAGACCACUGGUCAUAAUCAAAAUGCGAGAACGUCUAUUUCGCACCCAAUUCUUUAACACGGGAAAAGGAUUUUUAAAAAAUGAAAUGAUAUUAAGACAACGAUGUCUGUGGCAUUAGCAGGCUGUGUAAUUUUCAGCUCUGUAUUUGAGUUAACGGUCUCUCGCUUCAGUAAACGAGCUCCGUCCUGACACUGCGUGCCAGUCAGUGUGUGACAGAACGGGAACACCUGUGUCUUCUGGCCCUAAAGACCGUGGCGGUGUUCUGAGACAGCGGGGAGUCCGGUGAACUCCAGGGGUAAAGGUUUGUUUGUAGAAGCAGGUGUCUCGGUGUCUCAGUAUCACCGCCCGUCAUGCCCCGCAUAGCUGCGAGGCCUGGGUGGCCCGAAAACAGGUGUUCAGGUGGAACUUUUGCUCGCAGCACUAUUUGAUUAUUUAAUCACUGGGAAUAACUGUGUAAAUGAUACAUAAUGAGCGCGCGGAUCUGAGGGGGGGGGGUGGGAACUACAGCGUGGAAGGAUACAGUGUGUGUCUAAAGCCGGCAGGGGAGCGGAGAAACCCAACUCUCCCCCUCUAAUGAUCGCUUGGGAUGUUCUGUUCUGCCUGGUCAAGUGGAACAUUCCAGAUACAGUUCCCCGUAUUGUGCGUCAGCAUGUGGGCUCUGGGCUUUUCUAAAUGACCUAAUCAAUGAUAAAAGUGCAGGUUAUAGAGUUACCGCGCGGGCUGCAGUAUUCCACCGUCGCAUUUCAAAUUGCUGUUACGGGCCGGGACCGUGAACGAAUGCGCAGACGUAGAAACCGACCCGCUUGGAGCCCCUUAUUAAAUCGGACCCGCUCCUAGGAUAGAUUUGGAAGACGCAGCAUAAAUCCGGCGACCCAUACGCUCUGAAUGUGCAAGGCCAGUCCGGUAAGCCGAUACGCUGUGGGUAAACCUGGGACAUCAGCGAGGCUCUCGGGUCCUGUCACGGUGCCACGUCCGCCAUCAUUUAUGGCCCUCGUGUCACCAGGUCGUUACAUCAGUUUCAGGAUUUACCAAUAUGAUGACACGCAAGUUAGGCUUUAAUUUAUGCAUCUAAUUAACUGUACGCGAUUUCACGCAGUUAAUCCCGUGUUUCAAGGCAUUUUUAAGAUCUGCGUGGAUCUACAGGAUCAAAACCUGGCUGUGUCUUAUACUGGUGUGUGGUUUUGUUUGUAUUUGGCUGAGUGGGAGUGAAAUCGCCUUGUUUUGCAGGUGAGAGGAAAUCCUGUGUUUAGAAAAAUUACGGAGACAGUGAUUCAUUUGUGACAAAAUCGGUACAAUGAUGUGGGGUGUUGCAAAAGGGAGCUGCAUGUUUCAAAAAUGAACAGUGAGGAGAAUGGAAUUGUGCCAGGGCUGUUUAUAUCUCUUAAUAUGUCUCCUCGUCUUUGUUCUGUAUUACGAUGUCUGCUCUAAUAUUCUUUUCAUUAUGUUUAUUAAAAGAUA
Long non-coding RNA from Anguilla rostrata (American eel), 2677 nucleotides. RefSeq lists it as uncharacterized. The transcript has 3 exons. NCBI's taxonomy places the organism in Eukaryota, Metazoa, Chordata, Actinopteri, Anguilliformes, Anguillidae. The record is from RefSeq and is a predicted model, not a curated record.